Siniperca chuatsi (mandarin fish) is the source of this 1560-nucleotide long non-coding RNA. RefSeq lists it as uncharacterized. The record is from RefSeq and is a predicted model, not a curated record. Lineage: Eukaryota; Metazoa; Chordata; Actinopteri; Centrarchiformes; Sinipercidae. The transcript is spliced from 3 exons.
CGAAAAUGCUGGUGGCAACUGGAUUGUAAAAACACCAUUUGCAGCACACUCAGUUUAAUUGCUUAUUGGUAAUGACUUUGAUGACUCUGGUUGAUCUGUGGCAUAAUAAGCAGGAGCCAGAGGCCACGACUUGGGAACUGCCUCAUAUAUAAUGAGGCGUGACACUGACAGAGGGCACCACCUAAGAAACAGAAACCUAUAUGGAAAGAGAGGGGAAAAAAGCCACACAGUCCGAGAGAAAAAGAAAAUGUGAACUGGGAAUUCAACGUCUGAGUAACACUGGGCCCAUUGCUAUACAGGCACGUCCCCUGCAUGCAGCCUGAGGGGGGUGGGGACGGCCAGCGUUGCCAUGGAGCUAAUUUUGUACUGGUCCGCUUCUGUGGUGAUGGUGACAAGGGUAUGUCCUGGAUCCACUGCUUCUACCUGGACAGCAACCUGAACCAUGAUCAACAAGGUUUACACUUAAACAUAUAGAGUAUGCAGUUGAUAUUAACAAACGAAAACAAAGAAAACGUCUUUUGCAUUAUGGAAAAAGAAAAAGGACAACAAAGUUACCCUUGUACAGCAGCCAGCUCCCUGGGGACCAUAUGAGUAGCACUUCACCAACUGUAUCGGUUCUUUCUAGGAAUGUUCAUCCCCUUUCGUUAAACUGCCUGGCUGGAAAUAUAUGUACAGUCCACUUAACUGUAUAAAUUCCUGUUUGGGUGCUGGCCAACCUUCUUAAGUCUUGGCAUUAAAACUACAUAAAAGAUUUAUGGAUUUCAAAAAAUUAAAGGACUGCAGUAUAGUGAGGGUGUGUUAAAUUUUAAUGCCCAGGAAGCUGACUGCACACCAACCUUAAGUGUGAAUGGAUCAGGUAAACAUUUAAGAGCCUGUAAUCUGAUCUGUUAUACCAACAAACACACGCAUUAAUCAUUUCAUCCAGUAUCACUAAUGGAAUGUCAACAUUGCUUCCAUGAUUGUGUAUGUGUUAGAGAACCAACUAAUCCAAUCAAGUCUCAAAUGGACUGAGAAAAGUUUAUUGAACAGAAAAGGCAGAAAGCAUAUUGCCAUAAACGCCUAAGCCAUUUAUUGUGUGCAUCCAGCCCCAUUAAAUGAAAAUGUCUACUUAGGUGUCUAUAAAAGGAAGGGUUGGCAUUAAGUAAGUGAGGGAUGGUGAUGUGCUUCAACAACUCUUUGACUUACUUGGGCCAAGCUGGGCAGAGCUGAAGACCAGUUAGUUUUGUCCCCAAAAAGGAAGGCGAGUCAAGUCACCCACAAUGUGACUGUGUAAACGGAUUUAUGUCCCCACAACAUGAGUAAUAUAUGAGGCCUGGCCCUGUAUGUGGGGAAGAAGAGUUGAUGUCCCCUGAAACGGGUAAGGGAAGAUUGGUAAACUGGGCAAAAUGAUGGUCUCCCUAUCUGCAGUGUCCUCUCCUCGGAAGGACAACAUGACCUGGACUCACCACAUACAGUGGUGUGAAAAAGUGUUUGCCCCCUUCCUGAUUUCUUAUUUUUUAAGUAUACACAAAAUGAAGUUUUUAAAUGAAGGUUGUUAUUAUUAAGGGAAAACAAAAUCCA